CCUACGGGGCGCUGCAGUGGGGAAUAUUGCACAAUGGGCGCAAGCCUGAUGCAGCCAUGCCGCGUGUGUGAAGAAGGCCUUCGGGUUGUAAAGCACUUUCAGCGGGGAGGAAGGCGUUAAGGUUAAUAACCUUGGCGAUUGACGUUACCCGCAGAAGAAGCACCGGCUAACUCCGUGCCAGCAGCCGCGGUAAUACGGAGGGUGCAAGCGUUAAUCGGAAUUACUGGGCGUAAAGCGCACGCAGGCGGUCUGUCAAGUCGGAUGUGAAAUCCCCGGGCUCAACCUGGGAACUGCAUUCGAAACUGGCAGGCUAGAGGCUUGUAGAGGGGGGUAGAAUUCCAGGUGUAGCGGUGAAAUGCGUAGAGAUCUGGAGGAAUACCGGUGGCGAAGGCGGCCCCCUGGACAAAGACUGACGCUCAGGUGCGAAAGCGUGGGGAGCAAACCGGAUUAGAUACCCUAGUAGUC
Molecule: ribosomal RNA, 465 nt
Filed under: uncultured Klebsiella sp.
Lineage: Bacteria; Pseudomonadati; Pseudomonadota; Gammaproteobacteria; Enterobacterales; Enterobacteriaceae
Description: bacterial SSU rRNA
Rfam family: Bacterial small subunit ribosomal RNA
Source: RNAcentral